Long non-coding RNA from Papilio xuthus (Asian swallowtail), 1272 nucleotides. RefSeq lists it as uncharacterized. The record is from RefSeq and is a predicted model, not a curated record. Lineage: Eukaryota; Metazoa; Arthropoda; Insecta; Lepidoptera; Papilionidae. The transcript has 4 exons.
GAUGUAUCGAAUAACAUGGUUCUUAUUUCUGCAACCCUAUUUCCGGUAACCGAAUGUAUUCGUUUUUUUUCUAGUCGUCUCCUCGGUGGUCGAACGGUGUAGUUAGUUGUAGAGUUUAAUUCGAGAAAGAGCUACGGUUUCCUCAACUCAUAGCUGCUAAACUUUUCAGAUUCGAGUCAUGGGAGACAUGUUGGCGGUCAAUCCAGUGUCAUCACAGUUGCUAAGAUGCAGAGCCAAGGCGCCUGUCAACAGCAGUCAGCUCUGUGCAUGAUAGAUGUAACCUGACUUGGUGACUGUUUAUUGGAUUUCAAUGAAGACUUGUUGCAGUUAUGGGAGCAUGCAGUUAGCUGGUGCCAGGAGAUAUGAAGACGUGACAUUUAGUAUGCGCCCUUAUACUGCAGAAGAGUAAGGUUAAGUAAUUGCCAGUUCCAGGUGCAGUGGAAGAGCGUGCUGACUGCUGUUUGACGGUGCCUCAGAGCUGAGCAUCGCGCCGGCGUCACUGCGGCGCCUCAGCCCGAGCUGAGGCCGUGCUGACUGCUGUUAGACGGUGCCUCAGAGCUGAGCAUCGCGCCGGCGUCACUGCGGCGCCUCAGCCCGAGCUGAGGCCGUGCUGACUGCUGUUUGACGGUGCCUCAGAGCUGAGCAUCGCGCCGGCGUCACUGCGGCGCCUCAGCCCGAGCUGAGGCCGUGCUGACUGCUGUUUGACGGUGGUUUCAGCCCGAGCUGAACUUCUGUCUUUUAGGUGAUAGUUUACCUACCUAGUACCAUAAAUGGUAAAAUAAGUAAUUUCUUAUUCUUAACUAAAUGUUAUUUAAUUUUUGUAUUACUGUCUGUAAUUCAGUUCAUAGUAACCCCCGAAAUUAUUAACCAGAAAAGUAAAAUUUUAAUUUUUUUUAUGAACAAAACAUAAAAUUUCAUAAUUUGGACUUGGUAAUUAUUUAUUGCUGAUUAAUUUUCAUUUAAAUUAAUAAAAAAACGCGCCAAAUGUAUCUUGGGUUUGAGAUUUGUAGUAAAAUAAAUUUUGUGGGUUACUUCGUUAAAAAUCCUAAAACAAGUAAAUGUAUGUCGGAACCGAAUUUCUUUUACUGAAAGCGAAUGUAACAACCUACAAUUAGGUCAUUAGAUUGAAUCGCAACUCAUUAAAUUUUUGUACAUGUUCUUAUUAAAUUUUUUUUAAUUCUCUUCCAUAACCUCUAUUUUUUUUUCUAAAAAUCUACAGCUUAUUAUAUGUACCAUAAUAAUUAUUGAAUAUAAGCCUAAAUUAUUAUUUUU